Molecule: RNA transcript, 337 nt
Organism: Syzygium oleosum
Lineage: Eukaryota; Viridiplantae; Streptophyta; Magnoliopsida; Myrtales; Myrtaceae
Gene name: ATP synthase small subunit 6, mitochondrial
Exons: 3
Source: RefSeq, a predicted model, not a curated record
CGGUGUUCUUCAGGAGGGAAUUCAGCAGGACGUGGCCGUUCCUCGUCGGCUUCGCCGUCACCGGAGCUAUCAUCACCAAGUUCUCCCUCGGCCUCUCCGAGGAAGACGCCAAGAACUCGCCUUUUGUCCAGAAGCACAAGAGGUGAAUUCUUGGAUGGUAAUCGCAUCGCCCACUUUGCACCUGCGCAUCAUGGGAGGAGAUAUUUGCUUCCUUUGUUCGAAUUGACGAAAUAACAGGAGAAAGAUGUUUGGGAUUCUCUGUGUUUUUGCUUCUUUUGGAUUCUGUGGGUUUCAUAUACUUUUGACAUGAGGCAAUUAAGCAUCAAUUUUCAUUGAA